AUGGCGACCGGCGCACGGGUGAGUAACACGUAUCCAACCUGCCGAUGACUCGGGGAUAGCCUUUCGAAAGAAAGAUUAAUACCCGAUGGCAUAGUUCUUCCGCAUGGUAGAACUAUUAAAGAAUUUCGGUCAUCGAUGGGGAUGCGUUCCAUUAGCUUGUUGGCGGGGUAACGGCCCACCAAGGCAUCGAUGGAUAGGGGUUCUGAGAGGAAGGUCCCCCACAUCGGAACUGAGACACGGUCCAAACUCCUACGGAAGGCAGCAG
RNAcentral lists this ribosomal RNA (265 nucleotides) under uncultured bacterium. RNAcentral's name for it is "partial 16S ribosomal RNA". It matches the Rfam family "Bacterial small subunit ribosomal RNA", at positions 88 to 354 of the family's 1533-position model. The record is from RNAcentral.